AUGCUGGCUCAAGGCAUCAGUCAACCAAAUACAAGUCCCUUCGCAUCAUCGGUUUUGCUGGUGCAGAAGAAAGACCUUACAUGGUGGUUUUGCAUGGAUUACCGUCACCUCAACGCAGUCACCAUCAAGAAUCGUUACCCUCUCCCAGUCAUUGAUGACUUGUUGGACGAACUGGCGGGAUCUCGGUUGUUCACCAGUUUGGAUCUACGAGCUGGCUAUUAUCAGAUUAGGAUGAGACCCGAGGAUGAGCAUAAAACAGCCUUCAAAACGCACCAUGGACACUUUGAGUUUAAGGUAAUGGCAAAUGGUGUCACGGGAGGACCAUCAAUCUUCCAAGGGGGCAUG
This 345-nucleotide ribosomal RNA is filed under the name Triticum aestivum (bread wheat). RNAcentral's name for it is "partial small subunit ribosomal RNA". Lineage: Eukaryota; Viridiplantae; Streptophyta; Magnoliopsida; Poales; Poaceae. The record is from RNAcentral.